Long non-coding RNA from Halichondria panicea, 5949 nucleotides. RefSeq lists it as uncharacterized. The record is from RefSeq and is a predicted model, not a curated record. Lineage: Eukaryota; Metazoa; Porifera; Demospongiae; Suberitida; Halichondriidae. The transcript has 3 exons.
AGCAUUUCGUGGUUGUACAGUUACAAAUGUCACCUCUGAAGAUCGUAGGCAAAACUUCCCCUCUUCAUGAAUGUAUAAAAGCCGGCUCCACCGAGCAAAAGAAAGUGAGUUACCAAGUUAUUAUUACGUACUGAAUCUCAUCAACUGGCAAUAAGGUAUUGGACUGGAACUACUGACCUCAGAAUUACUGAUAGCUAGGAAGAAAAAACUCACAGCUCUGGUGAGUGGUGACAACCAUUAUGAUUCGUUUAGCUGCAACACUUCUCGGCAUUUGCAUAACUAUUGUUUGUAGUUCGCAGCACUAUCAUAUUGUGCCUGAUACUACUGCAUCUAUUGACUUGUGUUCUGAAUUUCCGAUUGGCACUUGCUCCACUCUUGACCAGUUUGCUCAAGCAGAUAUAUUCUCUGAUGAUAGGGCCAAUCUCACGUUGACAUUUCUAGAAGGGGAUCAUGUGCUCACACAAUUGCUUACUAUUCAUGAUUUUUUGUGUGUUCAGAUAAUUGGCUGCAAUUAUUCUGUAUUGACAUUCAAUGAGACAAGAAGUCGAAUCGAAUUUUCAAACAUCACAAAGUUGAGCGUUGAUCACAUAUUCUUCAUUCAGUAUGCACCGUUCUUUGACUACUUUAAACGAGGCUUGAGCAUUAGCACAACACAAAAUGUUUUCAUAUAUGAUAGCUAUAUUGUGGGCUUUGAAGGCACUAAACAAGAUAUUGGUGUGCUAACCGUUAGUGGUGCCCAAAACACACAGAUUGAAAAUGUUAUCUUUCUGAAUAAUUCUGGCAGAGCACUUUUUGUCGAAUCGGAGAAUGUAAAAAUUAAGGAAGGAAAAUUUGAGCAAAAUUCUGGUGCAAUUUUCAUUAGUGCUACUCGUGCCAGUAUCAGUAACACUGAAUUUAUUGAAAACCUUAAUGGGGCCAUUCUGAUCAACAAAGGCAUUGUUAACAUAGCCAAUUGUGAGCUAGCAAAUAACCAGGGAUUGUAUGAUAUAGAUCUAUAUGAUGGCUACAUUGGGGGAGCUAUUGUUGCUGCUGGAGGCAAUUUGACGAUCUCUAACAGUACUUUUUAUGGCAACAGUGCUGACUUGGGUGGAGCAAUUUUAGUUAUUCAAGGUAGCCUGUCUCUUUCUAACAGUGCGCUAACCAACAACAGAGCUCUAGAAGGUGGAGCUUUGUUUAUACAUUCAAGUGAUUUCUUAAUGACCAAUUGUACUGUAACAAAUAACAGAAACCAUGGGAUACGUGGCGGAGGGGCAAUUUUUGGUACGAGGUCCGGCAAUAAUUUAUCAAUUUCCAGAAGUGAUUUUGUUGAUAACAAUUCUAUAAAUGGUUAUGGUGGAGUAAUUUUAGUUGAAACUGGUGCUCUUUCGAUCUCCAACAGCCGGUUCAUGAGCAACACUGCUUAUCAAGGUGGUGGAAGUAUUAUGGUUGAAUAUGGCAAUGUGUCUAUUUCAGACAGUGAUUUCAAAAACAAUGUUGCAGCAUACGGUGGAGGCUUUAGUGUUUGGUAUGGCAAUGUAUAUAUCCUAAAUUGUACAUUUAACAAUAAUAGUGUCUCAUAUAAGUAUGGUGGAGGUUUUUAUAUUCGAUCAGUUUAUUUGAUAGUUUCUAACUCCAUCUUUACAAGAAACAAAGCGAAGGUUGGAGGUGGAGCAAUAUACAUUCAAGAGCACACACUUUUCAUAACAAACACAGUGUUUACGAACAAUUCCGCUCGUAGUGGUGGAGUUUUAAGCAUUUCUAAUGGAACAGCCCAACUCUCUAACAUUACUGCUUUGUACAACGUUGGAUAUGCUCAAGGAGUGUUCUAUAUUCAUGACACAACUACAGUUAUAUCCAAUUCUACAUUCAUUGGAAAUUCAGCAAUGCAAUAUGAACUUGCGCUAUUUGGGGUCAUCAGUAUUUUAGAAUGCACUAUGAAUUUUUCAGGAAUGAACACAAUGAUCGACAACAUGGGUCCUAGCAUUAAUGCGUACUCUGCAUCAGUAUAUUUUACAGGCCCAACGAAUUUCAGCAGCAACCAUGGUAUCGAUAUUAAUGGUGGAGGACUUUCUGCUACUCUGAGUCAGAUUUACUUUAGCAGAACAGGAGCAAUAACGUUUUUUAACAAUUCAGCUGAUAAUGGAGGAGCAAUAUUUCUAGGCGAGAGUUUGCUUUAUGUAUGCUCUCAGCAUCUCUUCGUUUCACAUAACACAGCACAACAUGGUGCUGGGAUAUAUGGGUACCAAAGCACAAUAAAGUUCAAAUGCGAUGACAAGAAACAGAAUAGUGAGGUUGUCAUUACAAACAACUAUGCCACUCAUAGUGGUGGUGGUAUUUGGGCUUUAGGAACAACCAUUCAACUGUUACAAUCAAAUGUCUACCUAGACCAUAACUCUGCUGCAUUCAAUGGUGGUGGUAUGUUCUUACAACAAAACUCCAAGAUUUAUCUUCUGAAGCAUGGUGUGGACUGUACAUACGAUUGGUGUCAAGUCAAGCUAGAAAUAAUAAAUAAUUCUGCUUUGUUGGGAGGAGGAAUAUUUGUAGCCGAUAAUUCAACUGGUAGAGGAGCAUGUAGGGGAGGUUCAUCAGAUAAAAUUGUUCGAACAAAUUAUCUCGACAAUAUCCUUUCUGACUGUUUCAUUCAAACUAUUAAUUUUCAUGGAUCACAUGAGUCCCUUGAUUAUGUCAAAACUCUUCUUUCUGGCAACACUGCAAAACGUUCAGGAAACGACAUCUAUGGAGGUCUAUUGGACAGAUGUACUGUGAGCCCUUUAGCUGAAUUGUAUGGGUUAUGGAAUGCAGAAGACUAUAUCAGAAAAACUGUAAAUAUUACGAGCAAUUCAACAAUAUCUUCAGAUCCCGUACAAGUUGUUUUUUGUACUCCCACAGAAAUAUUUACACGAAAAGGUGAAUUAUUUAGAAUAAGUGUCAGAGCAAUUGAUCAAGUUGGAAAUUCUUUGAACGCAACCAUACAUAACUCAGUAGUCACCGACAGUGGAAUUGGUCGCCUCAAAGAAGGGCAAACAGAACAAACAGUUGGGGAUAUGUGUACUGAAUUGGAAUUCAAUGUGUUUUCAGAAGACAAUUCUGCUCUAAUAGAACUCUACGCUUAUGGGCCAUGUGUCAACAUAGGACUUUCAAAGAAUACUUUUAAUGUUACUUUUCUUCCCUGCACUUGCCCAUUAGGAUUCCAGCCAUCAAUGUCUCGAAUCGAGUGUGUAUGUGAGUGUGAUGUGAAAUUGCAAUCUUACAUAGCGAACUGUUCUAAUGGCUUCCUCAGAAUGGAAACUGGCAUAUGGAUUGGGGUUACCAACGAUACUGAUGGUGAAAUAGGAUACAUUGUUGAUAAUUGCCCUUUUGAUUACUGUGUUAAGGAACCAAUUGACGUCAGUUUGAAAACCUCUCACGAGAUAGACAGACAGUGUGCAUACAAUCGAAGUGGUGUCUUGUGCGGUGAAUGUGAGCAAGGACUCAGUCUUAUUCUGGCUACCUCAAAAUGCAAGGAGUGUUCAAACACCUACCUUCUUCUUCUGAUUCCAUUUGCCCUUGCUGGUAUAGUAUUGGUUACAUUUAUUCUCGUAUUCAACAUCACCAUAGCGACAGGAAAUGUUCAUGGCUUGAUUUUCUAUGCUAAUGUACUCGCUGCUAAUAAAGCUGUAUUCCUUCCCUUUGAUAAUGUUCUAACUGUAAUCAUAUCAUGGGUGAAUCUUGAUUUGGGAAUAGAAACCUGCUUUUAUGAUGGGGGGAUGAGUUCUCAAGCAAAAGUACUCCUUCAACUUGUCUUCCCAGCCUAUUUGUUUUUUCUGAUGCUUGGAAUUAUUGUUCUUUGCAAAUACUUUGACUCAAUUUCCAAACUUCUUUCCAAUGCCAACCCUGUUGCUGCACUAUGCACACUUUUCAUGCUUUCUUACUCCAAGCUGCUGCGGUUCACAAUUUCUGCAUUGCAGUUUAACUUUCUCAGGUAUCCUGAUGGUUCAGAUGAAUUGGUUUGGUUGUAUGAUGCCAAUGUACGGUACUUUAACCCUGAACACACAACUCGAUUUAUUGCUUCUGUUGUAAUCCUCACUGCUGGUGGAUUGUUUACUGUUUUGAUUUUCUUUGGCCAGUGGUUUCCUCACUGCUCAAAAUUAAAGAUCACGAAAUGGACAAAAAACACAAAAUAUAUUGGUUUCAUGGACGCAUACCAUGCUCCAUUCACUCCAAAGCAUCGUUACUGGUUGGGAUUGCUUCUCUUUUCUCUCAUUGCUUACAACAUCAUAGCUGCCUUUGCAACGGAUACCUACUUACCUAUUAUCUCUGUUGGGUGUAUAGCAAUUGGCAUAUGCUUUUUCAAGCUAAUUGUUAAGAAAGUGCACAAGACUUCGCUUGGAGAUCUAAUAGAAACACUCAAUCUUACGAUUUUAGCAUACGGAACCUCUUAUGUGCGAGAAAUAAAAGGGAAUCAGUACAUACUAGCCAACUUUUCCAUGUCUAUUGCUUUCAUUCUCUUCCUAGCAAUCGUGUGCUUCCAUACACACAAGUACGUUCUUAAGAAGACAAAUGUAUGGCUAAAAGUGAUCAACUGCUUUAAAAGCAAGCGCAUGAUGAUGGAUUUGAAUCUUCGGCGAAGAGCUGCUAACGAACAAGAAAUACAACAUGUGUUAGUUGGUGAUGAAGAUAAUGAUGUUGAUAUAAUAGACUUCAUCAAUGAGCAAAGAGAGCCUGUUGACACAACUUACAACGACAGACCUGAAAACGAAGAACCUGGAAAGUAUAUUACUCCUCCUAUAAUCACACCUGCCUCAAGACUCGACCAGUUGCGAGAACCAGCUCUUGACGUCCUUGCUCCUGUUACUACUGAAGAUUAUCAACCAGCCCCACCCCGUCCUCAAGCUCGUAACUGUUCAGCUGUUGUUACUUGUACAGUUAUUGAGGUCACACACUAACUUUAAAUACAUGCACCAUUAAUAGACGAUUAGCAAAAGCGAUUGUCCUUGCAUAGACGUAACUUAGCCUCGAUCCCAGGCCGAGUUUUCGCUUUUAUAACGGUUAGGCAAACAACUGGGCCUGGUACUAGUUGUCUGCGCAUGCGUCAGUCGUUCGUCAGAUUCUGACAAAUGGAUAUUCUUGACUUUCCUGACAUUUAUAUUCGUGUACUAUCGUGUACUAGAAGUCAGUUCCUGUUUUAUCAUUAUUGGAAUCGGCUCUUAGCUGAAGCUUCUCUCUUCUCUGAAGCUUAUUCUGAAGACUGAACAACAAGGGAAGAGGUAUAAAGCUUUGUCAAGCUUGUUAAGGUCAGAUAUUUUUGUGUGGGCCCUAUGGCUAUGCUAUCAAGUCUUGUUCAUGUUUGGCAAGAUCUACCGGUAGGUAGACUAUAGUUUCAUCAUUAAUAUGGUGGAUCAAGUGAAGAGUGUGAGCUAGAGAACUUGGUGCUGCCAUCAUCAGCUCGUCGACAAUGACACUAUAACACGAGAAAUUUAAUAUGUAUAGAUCUACACGUAUUUAGAAUGUCUACUUCUCUGUACAGGAGCAAUGGCUAAUAUCCAGCUAUCCCAACAGUGCUCCUCUUGGCUAUACUAACGGACGAGACUGGACAGUUUGAGGACUGGAGUAUGACCUGCUCAUUCGAGCGUUGCUGGGUAGCUCAGAGACAUCAAGAGAAUCUACGUUUUCUCAAGCAAAAUUUAACUGAGUUACGAGUUGGGGCCUAGAAUCAGAGAAGUCCAGCAGCCUGCUAAAUCUUUUUGAAACGUAAUUUGAAGGCAUUCAAUCAUCCUGAAGUUUCCCUGGGUCACUGUAAUCGUGCUGCAGCACAACUGGCAACUCCCCAGGCCUUUGUGAAGCAGCUCCCUAUGUGCAUCUUUUGUGUACUCACUCUGUGCAUUUUCUGUGUACAAAUUUCGAUUAUUGAUUUAUUAAAUAUUUUUGCCGACCACAAAUAUACAAUGAAAAUUUGACGCAUGCACAGACAACUAGUACCAGGCCCAGUUG